UCUAAGGAGAAAUCAUCCAUAAAUGUGCUAAGAAUGGGAUAAAAAUAUGUAUAAAUUACGGUUUAUCAUUUCCCUCAAGAUAGUUAGAGCCUUAGUGAGUUCUAUUGGGUAAAGCUAAUGAAUAAAGGCAUUCGAGGCAUAACGCCCUCGACCUAUUCUCAAACUUUAAAUAGGUAGGACGGUGCGGCUACUUCGUUGAGCAGUGACACAGAAUUGAGAGCUCCAAGUGGGCCAUUUUUGGGAAGCAGAAUUGGUGAUUCGGGAUAAACUGAAAGCCUGGUUACGGUGCCCAACUGCGCACUAAGCUAAAACCCACAAAGGGUGUUGGUCGAUCAAGACAGUAGGAUGGUGGUCAUGGAAGUCGAAAUUCGCUAAAGAGUGUGUAACAACUCACUUGCCAAAUCAACUAGCCCCAAAAAUAGAUGGUGCUUAAGCACGUGACCUAUAUCUGGUUAUUGGGAAAGGGCCAAGCCCCGAUAAGUAGGAGGGUGCAACAAUCGUCACAAAACCCGACGCAUGAGCUCAGGCGGAGUAGCCCUCGAUGUAGAUCUUGGUGGUAGUAGAAAAUAUUCAAAUGAGAACUGUGAAGGCCGAAGAGGGGAAAGGUUCCAUGUGAAUGAAACUUACACAUGGGUUAGUCAAACCUAAGAGAUAGGGGGAGCCCAUCUUAUAGCGUGUCCAACGCAAGCUUUGAAAGGGAAUUUUGUUAAAAUUCCUGAACUAGGAUGCAACGACUGACGGUAAUGUUAGGGAGUCCAGAGACAUCGGCGGGGCCCUUGGGAAGAGUUAUCUUUUCUGUUUAACGAUCUGUCCACCCUAGAAACGGCCCAGCUAGAAUGUAACACCCCAAACCCGAGACCAUCGCCGGUGUCGGACACGAGGGGUUAACAAGCCAAAUCCACAUAUUUCACCCACCAAUUU
This 921-nucleotide non-coding RNA is filed under the name Gossypium arboreum. RNAcentral's name for it is "Eukaryotic large subunit ribosomal RNA". It matches the Rfam family "Eukaryotic large subunit ribosomal RNA", at positions 775 to 1790 of the family's 3401-position model. The record is from Rfam by way of RNAcentral. Lineage: Eukaryota; Viridiplantae; Streptophyta; Magnoliopsida; Malvales; Malvaceae.